RNAcentral lists this ribosomal RNA (467 nucleotides) under uncultured bacterium. RNAcentral describes it as "partial 16S ribosomal RNA". It matches the Rfam family "Bacterial small subunit ribosomal RNA", at positions 28 to 507 of the family's 1533-position model. The record is from RNAcentral.
GACGAACGCUGGCGGCGUGCUUAACACAUGCAAGUCGAACGGAAAGGCCUCUUUCGGGGGGUACUCGAGUGGCGAACGGGUGAGUAACACGUGAGUAACCUGCCCUUGACUUUGGGAUAACUUCAGGAAACUGGGGCUAAUACCGGAUAGGAGCUCCUGCUGCAUGGUGGGGGUUGGAAAGUUUCGGCGGUUGGGGAUGGACUCGCGGCUUAUCAGCUUGUUGGUGGGGUAGUGGCUUACCAAGGCUUUGACGGGUAGCCGGCCUGAGAGGGUGACCGGCCACAUUGGGACUGAGGUACGGCCCAGACUCCUACGGGAGGCAGCAGUGGGGAAGAUUGCACAAUGGGUGGAAGCCUGAUGCAGCAACGCCGUGUGCGGGAUGACGGCCUUCGGGUUGUAAACCGCUUUCGCUCAUGACGAAGCUUUGUGUGACGGUAGUGGGUAAAGAAGCACCGGCUAACUACGUG